CAGCCACUCAAAACUUCUUUUAUAAUUUAAUGAACGAGGAAAAUUUUUAACAAAAUUGUGUUCUCACGUAUGUGUGCUAAAUAAAGAAACCAGUUGGCCUUGCUGCCUCUUCAUUUGGCCGCACAUUAUAUAAAGGAAAACCCGCAAGCAGGAAAAACAACAUUCGCAUCUUCGGAACAGAAUCGCAAGCAUGAUGCAGUGCACCUUCCCUAAAGUCGCGGCUUUACUUCUCCUUUUAGCCAUUGUGUCUGCGCAAGCGCAACAAGAAGGCGAUGUACUAUAUUUGGACCGCAAUUCAGAAUGCGAAAUCAAAUUGAAUCCAGACGGCUCUCGUGAAGAGAACUGCUUUGCACUGGCCUCAGCCCCCGCACGAAAGAACUGUGCGUCAGGAUUAACUUCGUAUCACGGAGUUUGCAGGAGAAUUGUAUAUGUAUGAUUUAGUAUGAUAAAAAAAAAAAAUUAUCUUUGGCAGUUUGCCAUUUCGGUUCAUCUGAAACCCUUUUAAAAUUUCGGAAAAAUAUAUAUCUCAUUAAAUAAAUUGGUUCUUUUCAAAACUC
This is a long non-coding RNA of Neocloeon triangulifer, 557 nucleotides long. RefSeq lists it as uncharacterized. The transcript has 2 exons. The record is from RefSeq and is a predicted model, not a curated record. NCBI's taxonomy places the organism in Eukaryota, Metazoa, Arthropoda, Insecta, Ephemeroptera, Baetidae.